Molecule: non-coding RNA, 90 nt
Organism: Tricholoma furcatifolium
Lineage: Eukaryota; Fungi; Basidiomycota; Agaricomycetes; Agaricales; Tricholomataceae
Source: the annotation of a GenBank genome assembly
UCUUUGCUAGUAUAUCGGUUAGUACACGCGCCUGUCACUUGAAAGCAAGUCGUUCCGCGCGAAAGCUGGGUUCGACUCCCAGGCAAAGAG